RNAcentral lists this small RNA (54 nucleotides) under Cytobacillus horneckiae. RNAcentral describes it as "Bacillus horneckiae Bacillus-plasmid RNA". It matches the Rfam family "Bacillus-plasmid RNA". Lineage: Bacteria; Bacillati; Bacillota; Bacilli; Caryophanales; Bacillaceae. RNAcentral also lists the same sequence under 3 other names. The record is from Rfam by way of RNAcentral.
UCUGUCAACGGUACCGGACCGAAGGGAGGAUAAGGAGUUGAUAGACUCACUUCA